UCCCUGGUGGCUCAGCUGGUAAAGAACCCGCCUACAAUGCGGGAGACCUGGGUUCAAUCCCUGGGUUGGGAA
RNAcentral lists this transfer RNA (72 nucleotides) under Capra hircus (goat). It matches the Rfam family "tRNA". Rfam says of the family: Transfer RNA (tRNA) molecules are approximately 80 nucleotides in length. Their secondary structure includes four short double-helical elements and three loops (D, anti-codon, and T loops). Further hydrogen bonds mediate the characteristic L-shaped molecular structure. tRNAs have two regions of fundamental functional importance: the anti-codon, which is responsible for specific mRNA codon recognition, and the 3' end, to which the tRNAs corresponding amino acid is attached (by aminoacyl-tRNA synthetases). tRNAs cope with the degeneracy of the genetic code in two manners: having more than one tRNA (with a specific anti-codon) for a particular amino acid; and 'wobble' base-pairing, i.e. permitting non-standard base-pairing at the 3rd anti-codon position. RNAcentral also lists the same sequence under 1 other name. Lineage: Eukaryota; Metazoa; Chordata; Mammalia; Artiodactyla; Bovidae. The record is from Rfam by way of RNAcentral.